UACAGAGGUCUCAAGCGUUGUUCGGAUUCAUUGGGCGUAAAGGGCGCGUAGGCUGCGGGGCAAGUCGGGUGUGAAAUCUCAGAGCUCAACUCUGAAACUGCACUCGAUACUGCUUUGCUUGAGGACUGGAGAGGAGAUUGGAAUUCACGGUGUAGCAGUGAAAUGCGUAGAUAUCGUGAGGAAGACCAGUGGCGAAGGCGGAUCUCUGGACAGUUCCUGACGCUGAGGCGCGAAGGCCAGGGGAGCAAACGGGG
This 254-nucleotide ribosomal RNA is filed under the name uncultured bacterium. RNAcentral's name for it is "partial 16S ribosomal RNA". It matches the Rfam family "Bacterial small subunit ribosomal RNA", at positions 524 to 777 of the family's 1533-position model. The record is from RNAcentral.